CUGCAGAGGAUCUGAGCAGUGUCUGUAUGUGCCUGAAGAGGGGAUGUCCAGAGGGUGGAAGCCAGGCUCUUCUCGGUGGUGCCAAGCAAUGGGAUGAGCAGAAAUUGGAAUGGAGGAAUUCCCACCUGAACAUGAGGCAAAACUUCUUUACUGUGACGGUGACUGAGCACUGGAACAGGUUGCCCUGAGAGAUCUGGGGCUGAGACCUGGCCUUGGAGACCCUCCAGCUGGAAGAGGAGAAGGAGGAGAAAAAGAAGGAACCCGUCCUGCAGCAGGAGUGACCUGUUCCCCUGGCAGGAGGAGGAAUCUGCUCCCAGCUUCCCCCCGGGCUGCUGCUGAAGGCGAACACGUGCUGGG
Vidua macroura (Pin-tailed whydah) is the source of this 357-nucleotide long non-coding RNA. RefSeq lists it as uncharacterized. Lineage: Eukaryota; Metazoa; Chordata; Aves; Passeriformes; Viduidae. The record is from RefSeq and is a predicted model, not a curated record. The transcript is spliced from 3 exons.